This 402-nucleotide ribosomal RNA is filed under the name uncultured bacterium. RNAcentral describes it as "partial 16S ribosomal RNA". It matches the Rfam family "Bacterial small subunit ribosomal RNA", at positions 361 to 775 of the family's 1533-position model. The record is from RNAcentral.
AUAUUGCACAAUGGGCGCAAGCCUGAUGCAGCAACGCCGCGUGAGGGAUGACGGCCUNNNGGUUGNANACCUCUCUUAGUAGGNAANNAGCGAAAGUGACGUUACCUGCAGAUAAAGCACCGGCUAACUACGUUCCAGCAGCCGCGGUAAUACGUAGGGUGCAAGCGUUGUCCGGAAUUAUUGGGCGUAAAGAUCUCGUAGGCGGCUUGUCGCGUCUGCUGUGAAAUCCCGAGGCUUAACCUCGGGCCUGCAGUGGGUACGGGCAAGCUAGAGUGCGGUAGGGGAGAUUGGAAUUCCUGGUGUAGCGGUGGAAUGCGCAGAUAUCAGGAGGAACACCGAUGGCGAAGGCAGAUCUCUGGGCCGUAACUGACGCUGAGGAGCGAAAGCGUGGGGAGCAAACAG